This 512-nucleotide ribosomal RNA is filed under the name Bombyx mori (domestic silkworm). RNAcentral describes it as "partial large subunit ribosomal RNA". The record is from RNAcentral. Lineage: Eukaryota; Metazoa; Arthropoda; Insecta; Lepidoptera; Bombycidae.
GUCUUUUUGUUAAUAAUUUAAAGUCUAAUCUGCCCACUGAUAUAUUUAUUAAAGGGCUGCAGUAUUUUGACUGUACAAAGGUAGCAUAAUCAUUAGUCUUUUAAUUGGUGACUUGUAUGAAGGAUUGGAUGAAAUAUAAACUGUCUCUUUUAUAAAAAAAAAAUUGAAUUUAAUUUUUUAAUUAAAAAGUUAAAAUUAUUUAAAAAGACGAGAAGACCCUAUAGAGUUUUAUAAUUUAUUUUGUAAAUAUUUUUAUUUUUAUAUUUUUAUAAUUUUAAAUUAUUUUGUUGGGGUGAUAAAAAAAUUUAAUUAACUUUUUUUAAUAGUUUACAUUAAUAAGUGAUUAAAUGAUCCAAUUUUAUUGAUUAAAAGAAAAAAUUACCUUAGGGAUAACAGCGUAAUUUUUUUUUUUAGUUCAAAUAAAAAGAAAAGUUUGCGACCUCGAUGUUGGAUUAAGAUAAAAUUUAAAUGUAGAAGUUUAAAAUUUUGAUCUGUUCGAUCAUUAAAAUCUU